GUGCCAGCCGCCGCGGUAAUACGGAGGGUGCAAGCGUUAAUCGGAAUUACUGGGCGUAAAGCGCGUGUAGGCGGCGUGAUAAGCCGGUUGUGAAAGCCCCGGGCUCAACCUGGGAACGGCAUCCGUAACUGUCAGGCUAGAGUGCAGGAGAGGAAGGUAGAAUUCCCGGUGUAGCGGUGAAAUGCGUAGAGAUCGGGAGGAAUACCAGUGGCGAAAGCGGGCAACUGGACGGGUACUGACGCUCAGGCACGAAAGCGAGGGGAGCAAACAGGAUUAGAAACCCCUGUAGUCC
RNAcentral lists this ribosomal RNA (292 nucleotides) under uncultured bacterium. RNAcentral's name for it is "partial 16S ribosomal RNA". It matches the Rfam family "Bacterial small subunit ribosomal RNA", at positions 505 to 796 of the family's 1533-position model. The record is from RNAcentral.